GGUGGUUCUCGGGUGACACACCCCAGAAUCGGGCUCCCUCUUCUCUGGUUCCGGGUGCAUCACCCAAGAACCGCA
Myotis lucifugus (little brown bat) is the source of this 75-nucleotide non-coding RNA. Lineage: Eukaryota; Metazoa; Chordata; Mammalia; Chiroptera; Vespertilionidae. The record is from Rfam.